RNAcentral lists this ribosomal RNA (253 nucleotides) under uncultured bacterium. RNAcentral describes it as "partial 16S ribosomal RNA". It matches the Rfam family "Bacterial small subunit ribosomal RNA", at positions 524 to 776 of the family's 1533-position model. The record is from RNAcentral.
UACAGAGGUCCCAAGCGUUGUUCGGAUUCACUGGGCGUAAAGGGUGCGUAGGCGGUCGGGUAAGUCUGAUGUGAAAUCCCGCAGCUCAACUGCGGAAUGGCAUUGGAUACUAUUUGGCUAGAGGGUUGGAGGGGGGACUGGAAUUCUCGGUGUAGCAGUGAAAUGCGUAGAUAUCAAGAGGAACACCAGUGGCGAAGGCGAGUCCCUGGACAGCUCCUGACGCUGAGGCACGAAAGCUAGGGGAGCAAACAGG